AGAGUUUGAUCCUGGCUCAGGACGAACGCUGGCGGCGUGCUUAACACAUGCAAGUCGAACGGAAAGGCCCUUCGGGGUACUCGAGUGGCGAACGGGUGAGUAACACGUGGGUGAUCUGCCCUGCACUUUGGGAUAAGCCUGGGAAACUGGGUCUAAUACCGAAUAUGACCAUGCGCCUCCUGGUGUGUGGUGGAAAGCUUUUGCGGUGUGGGAUGGGCCCGCGGCCUAUCAGCUUGUUGGUGGGGUAAUGGCCUACCAAGGCGACGACGGGUAGCCGGCCUGAGAGGGUGACCGGCCACACUGGGACUGAGAUACGGCCCAGACUCCUACGGGAGGCAGCAGUGGGGAAUAUUGCACAAUGGGCGCAAGCCUGAUGCAGCGACGCCGCGUGAGGGAUGACGGCCUUCGGGUUGUAAACCUCUUUCAGUGCCGACGAAGCGCAAGUGACGGUAGGCAUAGAAGAAGGACCGGCCAACUACGUGCCAGCAGCCGCGGUAAUACGUAGGGUCCGAGCGUUGUCCGGAAUUACUGGGCGUAAAGAGCUCGUAGGUGGUUUGUCGCGUUGUUCGUGAAAACUCACAGCUCAACUGUGGGCGUGCGGGCGAUACGGGCAGACUUGAGUACUGCAGGGGAGACUGGAAUUCCUGGUGUAGCGGUGGAAUGCGCAGAUAUCAGGAGGAACACCGGUGGCGAAGGCGGGUCUCUGGGCAGUAACUGACGCUGAGGAGCGAAAGCGUGGGGAGCAAACAGGAUUAGAUACCCUGGUAGUCC
RNAcentral lists this ribosomal RNA (771 nucleotides) under uncultured bacterium. RNAcentral's name for it is "bacterial SSU rRNA". It matches the Rfam family "Bacterial small subunit ribosomal RNA", at positions 8 to 796 of the family's 1533-position model. The record is from RNAcentral.